This is a long non-coding RNA of Rosa chinensis, 4176 nucleotides long. RefSeq lists it as uncharacterized. The record is from RefSeq and is a predicted model, not a curated record. Lineage: Eukaryota; Viridiplantae; Streptophyta; Magnoliopsida; Rosales; Rosaceae. The transcript is spliced from 15 exons.
CAAAUACAAUACACCCCCCUUAUAUAAAAGAGUUGAGUGAGUGGCAAGAAUGGUCUGAUGUUGGAGGUGACGAUAUUGAGGGUGGGGUUUUUGCUAAUCUUGAGAAGCUUGAUGUAAUAUCCUGUCGCAAUCUUACUGGGAGAUUAGCGUCAUACAGUCUCCCAUCUCUUGUGUCUUUGACGGUGUAUAAUUGCCCAGAAUUCGAAUGUUUUCCGGAAGAUGGACUCCCGUCAAAGUUAAACUCACUUCUCAUCGACAACUGUAAAAAAAUGAAUGAGAGAGAGCACCUUAUGAUGCAGAAUUCGAAAUUGGGUCUCCAAAUGCUGGUGCAGAAUUUUAAAGACAGAGAACUAAAAAGUAGAUUGGUUCGCGCAGGGUUUGUUUCCCAGCACUCUGACAGUUCUUCGGAUUCAUCGUCUGGAUCUGACAUUUGUUUGGAUUCAUCGUCUGGAUCUGACAUUUCUGACAUUUGUUUGGAUUCAUCGUCUGGAGGGGCUGUUUCCCAGCACUCUGACAGUUCUUCGGAUUCAUCGUCUGAAUUGUGAGACCAUCGACGGCGCCUAGUGGUUUGGCCAUCUCAACUCUCUUCAAAAAUUGGAGAUUUGGAGUUGCCCCGCGCUCCGAUGCUCGCCAGAUAGUGGACUACCCUCUUCUCUUUGAGACUUGCAGAUUUGGUAUUCCCCUGCUCUAUCUUCUCUUUCUUAUCGUGGACUGUCCUUUGCUUGAGAAACGGUGCCAAAGAGAGACGGGUGAAGAAAUAAAUUACAAAACGAUAUGACAACGACAGAGGGCUUGCAUUCACAGUUCUAGGGUCUUGCUUGAGCUCAUGAUCGACAUGCCAUAUGAAGGAGAAACAGACCAUUUCCAUUUCCUACGUUAUGUUGCACAUCCCAAUUCUCGGCUUUGCCCUUCCCAAGAAACUGGGAAUGGCAAAGAUGAGAAUUUCCUUUGUUAUCUAUUGAUUCUUUGAAAACCUGGGUAAUGUGUCUUCUUUCUGCCUUGUUUCUUGAUAUGCAGCAGUUUCGUGGAUAGUGAGUAAAAUUUCUUGAUAUGUUAAGACGGAGAUAAGCCAAGGUUAAGAUUGCUCGCAGGACCAAUAUUUCCAUGUCUUGAUGUCUGAGUUGCAAAGCUUCUCUUCUUAUCUGAACUUGCAGACUGUUCUUUAUCUCCUCCACUCAUCCACACUGUUUCCGAGCAGAAUGAAAAUCACAGGGAGAUGAGAGCCAAUUUUGGCAUCUCAUAAUACUUGUAGCUGUUGGACCCUUAUCUCAGUAAACACUUAUGAGACCUGUCAAAAGUGAAAACAGCUCAUAAUACUUGAAAUCAGUUCUUGCAAAAAAGACUUUGUUGCAAACAAUUUGCAGAGUGUGAAGAAGGGUCUCCUAAGUGGCAACAGAGCAAGGGCAAGAUCGUCCCAAGAUUGCUGACACUGACAUUUAUCAAUAUGGAUAUGACGCAGUUGCGAUGUCUUGACAUAGUUAUAAUAAUCAUCUAAUAAUCUGUCAGAUGCAGCAUAAGUAAGGAAAUAUUUUUGAGGCUCCCUACUAUUGGACCUCCUGGAGAAUCACCUUCUCGGAGAGGAAAGAGAGGUUAAUUAAUUAAGACUGCUCUCAUCGCCAACAUUGUCAAGAUUUGCAUUGUCCUGAUAGUCCCGGUAGUAAUGCUUCUACUAAUGGGGAGUGGUAACUUUUUAUGCCUUGGAGGAGGGCUAACUGAUGAAAGCUCCAUCUUCUAGGGAGCCAGACUUGAAAAGAGCAGAAAGGAAGUUCCCAGUUGUAGUGACUAGUGAUCCAGAGUUCUUUAGAUAACAGAAUACUUGGCUCCGAUGAUUGCCUACAUACCUGUGUUACUUUCUUUUUCUUGUAUAAUAACUGAGAUGGUCCUUGCAAAUACAAUGCUGCCUGAGUGAAACUGGAGAGAGGGAGGGAGGGAGGGAGAUUGGCCCAACACAUAAUGUGCAAGAUCAUAAUUGGUUUUAGCACAAAGCUUCUGGCUGAUAGUAAUGAAUAAGGAAUUGAAGAAUUAAAUGGUCUUAACUUAAGGUCAUUGUGGAAAAGAUGGAAAGAGAAAGGUGAAUUAUGAUGUGUGAUGUCCUGAUAGUCCCAGUUGCAGUGCUGCCACUGAAGUAGAAUUACAGUAAUCAGCAAAGAAACUUGGUGUCCAUGGCAACAGACAACACAUGGCCAAACAGUGUUGCAUUUUGAUUGAUAAGAACUGUCCUUACUGGCCCAUAAACAAUACGGGAACUAGAAUUGAAUUUCUACUUUCCCUUUUAAUGGGCCAACUUCUGGAAUUUGGAUCCUCUUUUCAUCAAAGUUUCUCUGGUUGUUAUAUAAUGCCGCCAGCUGCAACUGAAUGGUUGGCACUCUUCUACUUUCUCAGGAACAAUAAAGUCGUUGGCAAAAAACUCGGAGUUGUGUGUGGAAAAAAGAUGACAUGAGGACGAACCGUAUUGCACCUUCACUAUGGACCUGGAUUCUCUUCUGACCACAGUUUCAGGGUCAAGCUGGUAGUGAUGCUUAUAUGUCUUUUGUUGCUAGUGUGAUAUCAGCUCUGAAUAUGUUCCAAGUUUACAACAAUAUGGUGCUUCCAUUAAAGGGUUUGGCUGAACACCAAUUUUUAAGAUUUGGGAUUAUCCCUAUUGAUGUUUAUGAGUUGAUGCAAAUACGAUCGUCACUUGCUUAUGUGCAAUGUUGACUUAUAUUGGUGAAUUUCUACUGCUUAACAUCCAUGGGAGCAAAGCCUAUCUAUACAAAACCAGAAGUACAGAAUUUGGAUGUAUUGUAUCUUUUCCCAAUGGAGGGUUACAUGGACCCAGCUUGACAGAGAUGAGUAUCUCUGAUUAUUGGAAAUUGGGUUCCUGGCUGCAAUAUAUGCUCUCACUCCUCCCAUCUCUCUAGUUUUUGUCAGUAUCAGAUUGCCCAAAGUUGUCAACUAUUCUCGAAGGAGGAUUGCUUUCUCAUUGUCACUUGACUUUGGUAAACAUGAAGAAGUCGAGUCUUCUCCGAGUUUCCCAGCACUCUCACUCAUCUAACAAUGUACCAUCUAAAUCUAAAGACCAUGGGUGGCGCCAAGUGGUUUGGGCAUCUCAACUCUCUUGAAAUUUUGAAGAUUAGCUGUUUCAUUGCGCUUCGGUACUUUCCAGAUAGUGGUGGACUACCUAAUUCUUUUAAAAUAUUGGAGUUAUGCGGUGCUGUGCUUGCCUCAAAGUGGACUACCCACUUCUCUUAAGAUUUUGGAGAUUACGUAUUGCUCUGUGCUGCAGUGCUUGCCAGAAAAUGAGCUACCUGUUUCUCUUUGUGAAAUACAUAUCAUUGGAUGUCAUUUGCUAGAGAAACUGUGCCAGAGAGUGGGGAAUAUUGGCCCAAGAUUGCUCACAUCCCCCACAUAAUGAUCACUUUCAGGCGUUGAUUUAGGCUGUCCCAAUUCUUGUAAUCGUCAUUGUAAUCAUGCAAUUACCUGUCAGUGCCAAAGAGAGACGGGUGAAGAUUGGCUCAAGAUUGCUCACAUCAAGUGCACAGAUAUCAAUGGUGGAGAAACUGACCAUUUCCAUUUACUACGCAGUUUCGUGGAAAGUAAGCAAAAUUUCUUGAUAUGUUAAGACAGAGAUAGGCCAAGGUUAAGAUUGCUCGCAGGACCAAUAUUGCCAUGUCUUGCUGUCUGAGUUCUUCUCUUCUUAUCUGAACUUGCAGACUGUUGGUGUAUAAUUCUCAAAUUCUCUCUCAGUUGAUUAGUUUUGCAUUAGGGGGAUUUGGAAGUGGGUUGUUGGGGGGAGUGGGACUUGCGAACAUCACCAUCACUCAAAAGCGUGAGUUGUUUCUUGAGAUAGUUGGAAUGUUGAUCAGGCUAAUCAAAAUAAUCAAAAGGGAGAGAUCGGGAUGCAAAAAUUGAUGAGGCUGCUAUGAGGUUAUGGAUUUGAGGUUCUUUCAUUUUUUUUGGUUUUUGUUUUUGUUUUGUUAUUUUUUUGUUAUUGCUUUCUUUCUCCUUCAGCCUUUCUAUCUGUAUGGUUUGUUGAUGGUGUAUCAGCAACCAGUGUAAUCCAAAUAUAUGGUUUUGUUAAUGCAAAUGACAGUCUGAAUGUUUCACGAAUUCUAUAGCAUGUACUUAUAGAGUAAGUAGUAUGUGCACUGAUUUAAAGCAUAAGAUAAAUACCAAUCUGUUAAGGUUUUGGAUGAU